RNAcentral lists this transfer RNA (85 nucleotides) under Selaginella moellendorffii. RNAcentral's name for it is "tRNA tRNA-Tyr". It matches the Rfam family "tRNA". From Rfam's summary of the family: Transfer RNA (tRNA) molecules are approximately 80 nucleotides in length. Their secondary structure includes four short double-helical elements and three loops (D, anti-codon, and T loops). Further hydrogen bonds mediate the characteristic L-shaped molecular structure. tRNAs have two regions of fundamental functional importance: the anti-codon, which is responsible for specific mRNA codon recognition, and the 3' end, to which the tRNAs corresponding amino acid is attached (by aminoacyl-tRNA synthetases). tRNAs cope with the degeneracy of the genetic code in two manners: having more than one tRNA (with a specific anti-codon) for a particular amino acid; and 'wobble' base-pairing, i.e. permitting non-standard base-pairing at the 3rd anti-codon position. Lineage: Eukaryota; Viridiplantae; Streptophyta; Lycopodiopsida; Selaginellales; Selaginellaceae. The record is from Rfam by way of RNAcentral.
CCGAUCUUAGCUCAGUUGGUAGAGCGGAGGACUGUAGUAUCUCCCAGACAUCCUUAGGUCGCUGGUUUGAUUCCAGCAGAUCGGA